CGGCCCCAAGUCAGGCGAGACCACCCGCCGAGUUUAAGCAUAUAAAUAAGCGGAGGAGAAGAAACUUACGAGGAUUCCCCUAGUAACGGCGAGUGAACCGGGAUCAGCCCAGCUUGAGAAUUUGACGGUUGAAUCCGUUCGAGUUGUAGUCUGGAGAAGUGUCCUCAGCGACGGAUCGGGCCCAAGUCCCUUGGAACGGGGUGCCGGGGAGGGUGAGAGCCCCGUCUGGCUCGGACCAUGCCGCAUGACGAGGCACUGUCGUCGAGUCGGGUUGUUUGGGAAUGCAGCCCCAGUUGGGCGGUAAAUUUCGUCCAAGGCUAAAUAUUGGCGAGAGACCGAUAGCGAACAAGUACCGCGAGGGAAAGAUGAAAAGGACUUUGAAAAGAGAGUCAAAGAGUACUUGAAAUUGCCGCGAGGGAAGCGGAUGGGGGUCGACGGAGUGCUCCGGUCGGAUGCGGAACGGCUCUAGUCGGUCCGUUGCUCGACUUGGGGCAUGGACCGUUGCAGGCUACGCUGGCGGUCCAAGCCCGAACGCAUUGUGCGCGCUCGCGGCAUAUUGCCAGCGUGGUCGAGGAUGCGGCGCGCGCCAUUAUUGGCGUUCCACCCUGUGGCACUUGCACGCUCAAGGCAUCGGCCAGUGGGCUCCCCAUUCGACCCGUCUUGAAACACGGACCAAGGAGUCUGACAUGCAUGCGAGUCGGUGAGUUUGGAAACUCUGACGGCGCAAGGAAGCUGAUGGGUGGGAGCCCCUUUUUGCGGGGGUGCAUCACCGGCCGACCUAGAUCUUUUGUGAAGGGUUUGUGUUGGAGCAUGCCUGUCGGGACCCGAAAGAUGGUGAACUAUGCC
RNAcentral lists this ribosomal RNA (846 nucleotides) under Curcuma longa (turmeric). RNAcentral describes it as "eukaryotic LSU rRNA". It matches the Rfam family "Eukaryotic large subunit ribosomal RNA", at positions 1 to 837 of the family's 3401-position model. The record is from RNAcentral. Lineage: Eukaryota; Viridiplantae; Streptophyta; Magnoliopsida; Zingiberales; Zingiberaceae.